GCUGUUUAAGAGAAGACUUGAAGAAACUGGUAAUGUACAGUUAUAAAAAUAGAAGACCUUAAGAGCCAUCAUCAAAGCUAAAGGACUGUCAUAAAGAUGAGAGGCUAACCUGCUGGCUGGGCCAAUGAAAGAAGAAUAAGUCAUCCAAACAGCAGCCACAACUAACCACUAGAAAUGUGAGUGAGACUUUUGUGGGUCAUCCAGCCCCAGUCAAGCUACCAGAUACCUAAAACUAUAAAAGAGACAAAAGACAAGACCAGCAGAAAUACCAGCCAGAUGAUCCACAAAUAUUGCAAAAGUGUAUGCAUCAGUUGUAGUCUAACAUAACUAAUGUCAGAAUAAUAGCCAUGGCCUCUUACAUAACUUGUAUGCACAAGGAGUUUCUGUUCUCUACUUCUGUCAAAAAGAAGGUGUAAGUACAUUGUCAGAAGAAAGAGCUGUCAUCCAGGAACUGGAGGACAUUAUGG
Molecule: non-coding RNA, 467 nt
Organism: Macaca mulatta (Rhesus monkey)
Lineage: Eukaryota; Metazoa; Chordata; Mammalia; Primates; Cercopithecidae
Source: RefSeq, a predicted model, not a curated record